CGGUAAUUCCAGCUCCAAUAGCGUAUACUAAAGUUGUUGCAGUUAAAAAGCUCGUAGUUGGAUUUCUGCGGGGACGGAGCGGCCGGACGCAACUUGCGUCUCGAGCUAGCGCUUUCCCCGCAUCCUGCCGCGAACCGUGCUACCAUUAGUUUGGUGGCGCUGGGGAUCGGCUCGAUUACUUUGAGAAAAAUAGAGUGUUCAAAGCAGGCCACACGCCUUGAAUAAGUUAGCAUGGAAUAAUGACUAAGGACUUCGGUUCUAUUUUGUUGGUGUUCGGGACUGAAGUAAUGAUUGAUAGGGACAGUUGGGGCGGUCUGUAUUCCAAAGCGAGAGGUGAAAUUCUUAGACCUUCGGAAGACAAACAGCUGCGAAAGCGUUCCGCAAGGAUGUUCCCUUUGAUCAAGAACGAAAGUUGGGGGAUCGAAGACGAUCAGAUACCGUCGUAGUCUCAACUAUAAACUAUACCAGCUAGGGAUCGGUCAACGUUUAAUUAUUCGACUUGAUCGGCACCUUAUGAGAAAUCAAAGCAUCUGGGUUCCGGGGGGAGUAUGGUCGCAAGGCUGAAACUUAAAGGAAUUGACGGAAGGGCACCACCAGCCGUGGAGCCUGUGGCUUAAUUUGACUCAACACGGGAAAACUUACCAGGUCCAGACAUAGUAAGGAUUGACAGAUUGAUAGCUCUUUCUUGAUUCUGUGGGUGGUGGUGCAUGGCCGUUCUUAGUUGGUGGAGUGAUUUGUCUGGUUAAUUCCGUUAACGAACGAGACCCCAGCCUGCUAAAUAGCGCGGCUGAGCUUUGCUCGGUGCGAGCUUCUUAGAGGGACUAUGAUGCGCGAUAGCACAUGGAAGUUUGGGGCAAUAACAGGUCUGUGAUGCCCUUAGAUGUUCUGGGCCGCACACGGGCUACACUGGCGCCUGCAACGAGCAUAUCAGCUGGCCCGAGAGGGUCUUGGCUAAUCUUUUGAACCGGCGCCGUGCUUGGGAUUGACCUUUGCAAUUGUUGGUCAUGCAACGAGGAAUGCCUUGUAAACGCGAGUCAUCAGCUCGCAUUGAAUACGUCCCUGCCCUUUGUACACACCGCCCGUCGCUCCUACCGAUGAAUGUUCCGAUGAAAUUUUCGGAGAGCGCCAGAGAACGGGGCUCCGCCUUGCAGAUCUGGAGGCUCAAAGUCACUUAAAUCUGAACAUUUCGAGGAAGGAGAAGUCGUAACAAGGUAGCCG
Molecule: ribosomal RNA, 1218 nt
Filed under: uncultured Rhizaria
Lineage: Eukaryota
Description: SSU rRNA
Rfam family: Eukaryotic small subunit ribosomal RNA
Source: RNAcentral